GGGUGGAAGGGGCGCAAGCUGAUCAGCCAUGCCGCGUGAGUGAAGAAGGCCUUCGGGUUGUAAAGCUCUUUCUGACGGGAAGAAAUCGCAUCUUCUAAUACCCGCUGGGCAGGACGGUACCAAUAGAAGAAGCACCGGUUAAUGCCGUGCCCCCCGCCGCUGUAAUAA
Molecule: ribosomal RNA, 168 nt
Filed under: uncultured Zoogloea sp.
Lineage: Bacteria; Pseudomonadati; Pseudomonadota; Betaproteobacteria; Rhodocyclales; Zoogloeaceae
Description: partial 16S ribosomal RNA
Rfam family: Bacterial small subunit ribosomal RNA
Source: RNAcentral